RNAcentral lists this long non-coding RNA (2107 nucleotides) under Olea europaea subsp. europaea. The record is from RNAcentral. Lineage: Eukaryota; Viridiplantae; Streptophyta; Magnoliopsida; Lamiales; Oleaceae.
GUCCGACUACAAAACAGUUAUCGGCUCUCCUCGACAAUCCUCAUGUGAGUAUUAUGCACUUUGUAACUUAUAUUAUGAGCUAAUUUAAAAUCUCAGCACGCAAUCAUUAACAGAGUUGAAAACAUGUCAGGUUGAGGUCAUAACUAAGUUGACGCCAUCGAUAGAGGAGGAGGGUCGAGGACUGGUACGGGAGGAGCGUGAAUUUUAUAUAAUUUAUUGAUUAACAUUUUUUAUAAUUAAGUUAAUAAUCUAUAAUGCUAUUUGUGUAGGAGCACGGUCCAGUUGAUAGACGAUUACGUCCGUCGAGAGCAUCACCAUCGUUGAUGGCAUCACCUCCACUGAGGGCAUCACCGCCGCCAAUGUCAUCACCUCCGUCGAUGUGGAGCGACAGUUGAUGGAGAGGGUAGACAAUUUGGAGCGAUGGUUGAUGGGGAGGGUCGACGACUUGUCCUAGAAUAUUACACUGCUACGUGGCCACGUCGUAUCCCUCUAGGAUGAGGUCACAGCGCUCCGAGGUGAUAUUGCGGGUAGGCGAUGGACUGACAGAAAGGGUGAUGGAGAGGGUGGCGAAGAGGGAGGUCACCCACAUUUUUGGACAGACGGUGCAUUAAAAUCAUUUCUAUUAUCUCUGGAACGAGAUUGGGUAUCCCCGAUGGAGACGAGAGUAACAACGGUGGAGGAGAGGGUGACGAAAGCAGUGGGCUCGAUGGGGACUGGAGAGCCAGCCGGGGAGGAAGAGAGGGUGACGAAGGCGGGAGAGCCAACCGGGGAGGAGGAGAAGGUGAUAGGGAGGGAAGAGCCGAUCAGGGAGAAGGAGAGGGUGACGGAGGCGAUGGGCUCAAUGGGACAGGAGAGCCAGGAAAGGAAGAGGAGGUGAUGGAGGAGACGAUCCCCGGGGAUAAGAAGUGUGUUGUUGACUUCACGGUGCAGGCGAUCGGGAAGAGGCCGAGAUUGCCGUAGCAGUACAUGGUUUCUCCCUUCAUGGUCGAGAUGAAGAGGAUGAGGUUCAUCGAUGGGACGAUUCCGAACCUAGUUCGGGAGGUGGACCAUGCCAAAUGGAAAACGUUCCAGACGGAGUGGAGAGGGAUUUUGUCUGGGUAAGUAUUCAUGAUAUUAGUAAAGUAUGUUGCGUUAUUCGUAUCGCUUAUUUAACAUUUUUAUUUUUCUUUUGUCAGGACCAGCCGCACGACUGGUCAAACGACCAUCUCCGAUGCUUAUAAGUGGUUCCACGACAUCAUCACUCCAGGAGCUUGGCUUGCCGACGAUGUAAGUGAAGUAGUCAUAUUGUUAUUUUUUGUGUAUAUAAUUUUUUAUUUAUGCAAUGAAAUAACUCCUUUUUAUAUUGGUGUUUCUUAAUGCAGCACAUCGACCUAGCCAUGGACUUUUUGCGUGAUCGGGUUCAAAGAUAUCUGAGGUCAUUUGACAGUCUUGGUUGAGUCAUACUGAAUUUGGAGUUCAGCUGAAGCAUUGACAUUGAGUACUAGUCGCUACAAUGUGCUGGUAUGAAGUACGUGGUGCCUGAUUAUAUGCUCGAGUGGACCAUAGGGAUGUGGCCACAUGUUGGGAGGAAGCCAUGGGAGGGUUGUACGCAUAUGUACAUACCAGUGAUCUUGAAUUCGCACUGCAUAGCUUUGGAGAUUGUGCUGGCCAAGUCUACUGUAUAUGUGUAUGACCCCGAUCAUUUAUGUCUGACACAGAGUCAGUUCGAGCAAAAUCUGGAGUCCAUCGCUAUUUUAGUCCCAUGAUGGUUAGAUGCCCCGGGCUUGACUCUGAACGACAGAUUAGCCAUCAUGCCCAGGCUAGGCAGACAAUAUCGUAAGUGGUUCUACAUUUUUUUAAAUUUAAUACUUAAUUUUUUCUAUAUGAUAAAGAUCUAACUUAUUAUUGUUCAAUUGCAGGGGUGAUUGCGGCAAGUUUGCAAUAAAAUAUAUUGAGUUUUUGAGUACCUAGGUUGAUGGAAUCAACUAAUCCUGAAUGCAAAUUUGGAGAAAUAAGUUAGCAUGCGAUUUGCACGACUUUAGUUGUGAUCUGUAAAUGCUGUAAAAAUUUGAUUUUUUUAAUUACGAAAUGUUUGUAAACACUUUGUAUAUUGAUUUGUACCUUGUGG